RNAcentral lists this ribosomal RNA (349 nucleotides) under uncultured bacterium. RNAcentral describes it as "bacterial SSU rRNA". It matches the Rfam family "Bacterial small subunit ribosomal RNA", at positions 917 to 1264 of the family's 1533-position model. The record is from RNAcentral.
GGGCCCGCACAAGCGGUGGAGUAUGUGGUUUAAUUCGACGCAACGCGCAGAACCUUACCCAGUCUUGACAUCCUUUGCUCACCAUAGAGAUAUGGUUUCCUCCUUCACGGGAGGCAGAGUGACAGGUGCUGCAUGGCUGUCGUCAGCUCGUGUCGUGAGAUGUUCGGUUAAGUCCGGUAACGAGCGCAACCCCUAUCCUUAGUUGCCAUCAUUUAGUUGGGCACUCUGAAAGAACUGCCAGUGAUAAGCUGGAGGAAGGUGGGGAUGACGUCAAGUCCUCAUGGCCCCUUACGUGUUGGGCUACACACGUGCUACAAUGGUAUUUACAACAGGAAGCAAGCGGCGCGUU